UGAACGCUGGCGGCGUGCUUAACACAUGCGAAGUCGAACGAGCGAGUUCCCUUCGGGGGACGAAGCGAGUGGCGGACGGGUGAGUAACGCGUGGGUAACCUGCCUCAUACAGGGGGAUAACAGUCAGAAAUGACUGCUAAUACCGCAUAAGCGCACAGUACCGCAUGGUACAGUGUGAAAAGCUCCGGCGGUAUGAGAUGGACCCGCGUUAGAUUAGCCAGUUGGCGGGGUAACGGCCCACCAAAGCGACGAUCUAUAGCCGGCCUGAGAGGGCGACCGGCCACAUUGGGACUGAGACACGGCCCAGACUCCUACGGGAGGCAGCAGUGGGGAAUAUUGCACAAUGGGGGAAACCCUGAUGCAGCGACGCCGCGUGAGUGAUGAAGUAUUUCGGUAUGUAAAGCUCUAUCAGCAGGGAAGAAAAUGACGGUACCUGACUAAGAAGCCCCGGCUAACUACGUGCC
This 464-nucleotide ribosomal RNA is filed under the name uncultured bacterium. RNAcentral's name for it is "bacterial SSU rRNA". It matches the Rfam family "Bacterial small subunit ribosomal RNA", at positions 30 to 509 of the family's 1533-position model. The record is from RNAcentral.